RNAcentral lists this ribosomal RNA (322 nucleotides) under uncultured eukaryote. RNAcentral describes it as "partial 18S ribosomal RNA". It matches the Rfam family "Eukaryotic small subunit ribosomal RNA", at positions 1470 to 1796 of the family's 1831-position model. The record is from RNAcentral.
CCCUUAGAUGUUCUGGGCCGCACGCGUGCUACACUGAGUGGAUCAGCGGGUCAGGUUACGCGAGAGCGUUUCCUAAUCUUCAAAUCCGCUCGUGAUGGGGAUUGACGGUUGCAAUUUUCCGUCAUGAACGAGGAAUACCUUGUAAGCGCGGGUCAUCAUCCCGCGCUGAAUACGUCCCUGCCCUUUGUACACACCGCCCGUCGCUCCUACCGAUUGAGUGGUCCGGUGAGGCUUUGGGAUCUAAGCGAAAAGAGCGUUUCGCUCCUGUUGCUGGGAGAACUCAGUCGAACCUUAUCAUUUAGAGGAAGGAGAAGUCGUAACA